This 435-nucleotide ribosomal RNA is filed under the name uncultured bacterium. Its description in RNAcentral is "bacterial SSU rRNA". It matches the Rfam family "Bacterial small subunit ribosomal RNA", at positions 958 to 1392 of the family's 1533-position model. The record is from RNAcentral.
AACGCGAAGAACCUUACCUACUCUUGACAUCCAGAGAACUUUCCAGAGAUGGAUUGGUGCCUUCGGGAACUCUGAGACAGGUGCUGCAUGGCUGUCGUCAGCUCGUGUUGUGAAAUGUUGGGUUAAGUCCCGCAACGAGCGCAACCCUUAUCCUUGUUUGCCAGCGAGUAAUGUCGGGAACUCCAGGGAGACUGCCGGUGAUAAACCGGAGGAAGGUGGGGACGACGUCAAGUCAUCAUGGCCCUUACGAGUAGGGCUACACACGUGCUACAAUGGCGCAUACAGAGGGCGGCGAGCUAGCGAUAGUGAGCGAAUCCCAAAAAGUGCGUCGUAGUCCGGAUUGGAGUCUGCAACUCGACUCCAUGAAGUCGGAAUCGCUAGUAAUCGUGGAUCAGAAUGCCACGGUGAAUACGUUCCCGGGCCUUGUACACACCG